UACGGAAGGCAGCAGUGGGGAAUAUUGCACAAUGGGCGCAAGCCUGAUGCAGCCAUGCCGCGUGUAUGAAAAAGGCCUUCGGGUUGUAAAGUACUUUCAGUCGUGAGGAAGGUGUUAAGGUUAAUAACCUUAGCAAUUGACGUUAGCGACAGAAGAAGCACCGGCUAACUCCGUGCCAGCAGCCGCGGUAAUACGGAGGGUGCGAGCGUUAAUCGGAAUUACUGGGCGUAAAGGGCACGCAGGCGGUUAAUUAAGUUGGAUGUGAAAUCCCCGGGCUUAACCUGGGAAUGGCAUUCAAGACUGGUUAGCUAGAGUCUUGUAGAGGGGGUAGAAUUCCAUGUGUAGCGGUGAAAUGCGUAGAGAUGUGGAGGAAUACCGGUGGCGAAGGCGGCCCCUGGACAAGACUGACGCUCAUGUGCGAAAGCGUGGGGAGCAAACG
Molecule: ribosomal RNA, 439 nt
Filed under: uncultured bacterium
Lineage: Bacteria
Description: bacterial SSU rRNA
Rfam family: Bacterial small subunit ribosomal RNA
Source: RNAcentral